AGAGCUUGCUCUCGGGUGACGAGCGGCGGACGGGUGAGUAAUGUCUGGGAAACUGCCUGAUGGAGGGGGAUAACUACUGGAAACGGUAGCUAAUACCGCAUAAUGUCGCAAGACCAAAGUGGGGGACCUUCGGGCCUCAUGCCAUCAGAUGUGCCCAGAUGGGAUUAGCUAGUAGGUGGGGUAACGGCUCACCUAGGCGACGAUCCCUAGCUGGUCUGAGAGGAUGACCAGCCACACUGGAACUGAGACACGGUCCAGACUCCUACGGGAGGCAGCAGUGGGGAAUAUUGCACAAUGGGCGCAAGCCUGAUGCAGCCAUGCCGCGUGUGUGAAGAAGGCCUUCGGGUUGUAAAGCACUUUCAGCGGGGAGGAAGGCGGUGAGGUUAAUAACCUUGUCGAUUGACGUUACCCGCAGAAGAAGCACCGGCUAACUCCGUGCCAGCAGCCGCGGUAAUACGGAGGGUGCAAGCGUUAAUCGGAAUUACUGGGCGUAAAGCGCACGCAGGCGGUCUGUCAAGUCGGAUGUGAAAUCCCCGGGCUCAACCUGGGAACUGCAUUCGAAACUGGCAGGCUAGAGUCUUGUAGAGGGGGGUAGAAUUCCAGGUGUAGCGGUGAAAUGCGUAGAGAUCUGGAGGAAUACCGGUGGCGAAGGCGGCCCCCUGGACAAAGACUGACGCUCAGGUGCGAAAGCGUGGGGAGCAAACAGGAUUAGAUACCCUGGUAGUCCACGCCGUAAACGAUGUCGAUUUGGAGGUUGUGCCCUUGAGGCGUGGCUUCCGGAGCUAACGCGUUAAAUCGACCGCCUGGGGAGUACGGCCGCAAGGUUAAAACUCAAAUGAAUUGACGGGGGCCCGCACAAGCGGUGGAGCAUGUGGUUUAAUUCGAUGCAACGCGAAGAACCUUACCUGGUCUUGACAUCCACAGAACUUUCCAGAGAUGGAUUGGUGCCUUCGGGAACUGUGAGACAGGUGCUGCAUGGCUGUCGUCAGCUCGUGUUGUGAAAUGUUGGGUUAAGUCCCGCAACGAGCGCAACCCUUAUCCUUUGUUGCCAGCGGUUAGGCCGGGAACUCAAAGGAGACUGCCAGUGAUAAACUGGAGGAAGGUGGGGAUGACGUCAAGUCAUCAUGGCCCUUACGACCAGGGCUACACACGUGCUACAAUGGCAUAUACAAAGAGAAGCGACCUCGCGAGAGCAAGCGGACCUCAUAAAGUAUGUCGUAGUCCGGAUUGGAGUCUGCAACUCGACUCCAUGAAGUCGGAAUCGCUAGUAAUCGUAGAUCAGAAUGCUACGGUGAAUACGUUCCCGGGCCUUGUACACACCGCCCGUCACACCAUGGGAGUGGGUUGCAAAAGAAGUAGGUAGCUUAACCUUCGGGAGGG
This 1380-nucleotide ribosomal RNA is filed under the name Klebsiella pneumoniae. RNAcentral describes it as "bacterial SSU rRNA". It matches the Rfam family "Bacterial small subunit ribosomal RNA", at positions 75 to 1450 of the family's 1533-position model. Lineage: Bacteria; Pseudomonadati; Pseudomonadota; Gammaproteobacteria; Enterobacterales; Enterobacteriaceae. The record is from RNAcentral.